CGAUGAAGGACGUGCUAAUCUGCGAUAAGCGUCGGUGAGGUGAUAUGAACCGUUAUAACCGGCGAUUUCCGAAUGGGGAAACCCAGUGUGUUUCGACACACUAUCAUUAACUGAAUCCAUAGGUUAAUGAGGCGAACCGGGGGAACUGAAACAUCUAAGUACCCCGAGGAAAAGAAAUCAACCGAGAUUCCCCCAGUAGCGGCGAGCGAACGGGGAGGAGCCCAGAGCCUGAAUCAGUGUGUGUGUUAGUGGAAGCGUCUGGAAAGGCGCGCGAUACAGGGUGACAGCCCCGUACACAAAAAUGCACAUAUUGUGAGCUCGAUGAGUAGGGCGGGACACGUGGUAUCCUGUCUGAAUAUGGGGGGACCAUCCUCCAAGGCUAAAUACUCCUGACUGACCGAUAGUGAACCAGUACCGUGAGGGAAAGGCGAAAAGAACCCCGGCGAGGGGAGUGAAAAAGAACCUGAAACCGUGUACGUACAAGCAGUGGGAGCCUCUUUAUGGGGUGACUGCGUACCUUUUGUAUAAUGGGUCAGCGACUUAUAUUCUGUAGCAAGGUUAACCGAAUAGGGGAGCCGAAGGGAAACCGAGUCUUAACUGGGCGUUAAGUUGCAGGGUAUAGACCCGAAACCCGGUGAUCUAGCCAUGGGCAGGUUGAAGGUUGGGUAACACUAACUGGAGGACCGAACCGACUAAUGUUGAAAAAUUAGCGGAUGACUUGUGGCUGGGGGUGAAAGGCCAAUCAAACCGGGAGAUAGCUGGUUCUCCCCGAAAGCUAUUUAGGUAGCGCCUCGUGAAUUCAUCUCCGGGGGUAGAGCACUGUUUCGGCAAGGGGGUCAUCCCGACUUACCAACCCGAUGCAAACUGCGAAUACCGGAGAAUGUUAUCACGGGAGACACACGGCGGGUGCUAACGUCCGUCGUGAAGAGGGAAACAACCCAGACCGCCAGCUAAGGUCCCAAAGUCAUGGUUAAGUGGGAAACGAUGUGGGAAGGCCCAGACAGCCAGGAUGUUGGCUUAGAAGCAGCCAUCAUUUAAAGAAAGCGUAAUAGCUCACUGGUCGAGUCGGCCUGCGCGGAAGAUGUAACGGGGCUAAACCAUGCACCGAAGCUGCGGCAGCGACACUAUGUGUUGUUGGGUAGGGGAGCGUUCUGUAAGCCUGUGAAGGUGGCCUGUGAGGGUUGCUGGAGGUAUCAGAAGUGCGAAUGCUGACAUAAGUAACGAUAAAGCGGGUGAAAAGCCCGCUCGCCGGAAGACCAAGGGUUCCUGUCCAACGUUAAUCGGGGCAGGGUGAGUCGACCCCUAAGGCGAGGCCGAAAGGCGUAGUCGAUGGGAAACAGGUUAAUAUUCCUGUACUUGGUGUUACUGCGAAGGGGGGACGGAGAAGGCUAUGUUGGCCGGGCGACGGUUGUCCCGGUUUAAGCGUGUAGGCUGGUUUUCCAGGCAAAUCCGGAAAACCAAGGCUGAGGCGUGAUGACGAGGCACUACGGUGCUGAAGCGACAAAUGCCCUGCUUCCAGGAAAAGCCUCUAAGCAUCAGGUAACAUCAAAUCGUACCCCAAACCGACACAGGUGGUCAGGUAGAGAAUACCAAGGCGCUUGAGAGAACUCGGGUGAAGGAACUAGGCAAAAUGGUGCCGUAACUUCGGGAGAAGGCACGCUGAUAUGUAGGUGAAGCGACUUGCUCGUGGAGCUGAAAUCAGUCGAAGAUACCAGCUGGCUGCAACUGUUUAUUAAAAACACAGCACUGUGCAAACACGAAAGUGGACGUAUACGGUGUGACGCCUGCCCGGUGCCGGAAGGUUAAUUGAUGGGGUUAGCGGUAACGCGAAGCUCUUGAUCGAAGCCCCGGUAAACGGCGGCCGUAACUAUAACGGUCCUAAGGUAGCGAAAUUCCUUGUCGGGUAAGUUCCGACCUGCACGAAUGGCGUAAUGAUGGCCAGGCUGUCUCCACCCGAGACUCAGUGAAAUUGAACUCGCUGUGAAGAUGCAGUGUACCCGCGGCAAGACGGAAAGACCCCGUGAACCUUUACUAUAGCUUGACACUGAACAUUGAGCCUUGAUGUGUAGGAUAGGUGGGAGGCUUUGAAGUGUGGACGCCAGUCUGCAUGGAGCCGACCUUGAAAUACCACCCUUUAAUGUUUGAUGUUCUAACGUUGGCCCGUAAUCCGGGUUGCGGACAGUGUCUGGUGGGUAGUUUGACUGGGGCGGUCUCCUCCUAAAGAGUAACGGAGGAGCACGAAGGUUGGCUAAUCCUGGUCGGACAUCAGGAGGUUAGUGCAAUGGCAUAAGCCAGCUUGACUGCGAGCGUGACGGCGCGAGCAGGUGCGAAAGCAGGUCAUAGUGAUCCGGUGGUUCUGAAUGGAAGGGCCAUCGCUCAACGGAUAAAAGGUACUCCGGGGAUAACAGGCUGAUACCGCCCAAGAGUUCAUAUCGACGGCGGUGUUUGGCACCUCGAUGUCGGCUCAUCACAUCCUGGGGCUGAAGUAGGUCCCAAGGGUAUGGCUGUUCGCCAUUUAAAGUGGUACGCGAGCUGGGUUUAGAACGUCGUGAGACAGUUCGGUCCCUAUCUGCCGUGGGCGCUGGAGAACUGAGGGGGGCUGCUCCUAGUACGAGAGGACCGGAGUGGACGCAUCACUGGUGUUCGGGUUGUCAUGCCAAUGGCACUGCCCGGUAGCUAAAUGCGGAAGAGAUAAGUGCUGAAAGCAUCUAAGCACGAAACUUGCCCCGAGAUGAGUUCUCCCUGAGACUUAGAGUCUCCUGAAGGAACGUUGAAGACGACGACGUUGAUAGGCCGGGUGUGUAAGCGCAGCGAUGCGUUGAGCUAACCGGUACUAAUGAACCGUGAGGCUUAACCUU
This 2858-nucleotide ribosomal RNA is filed under the name Escherichia coli HVH 217 (4-1022806). RNAcentral describes it as "bacterial LSU rRNA". It matches the Rfam family "Bacterial large subunit ribosomal RNA". Lineage: Bacteria; Pseudomonadati; Pseudomonadota; Gammaproteobacteria; Enterobacterales; Enterobacteriaceae. The record is from RNAcentral.